GAUGAACGCUGGCGGCAGGCUUAACACAUGCAAGUCGAACGGGUGUAGCAAUACAUCAGUGGCAGACGGGUGAGUAACACGUGGGAACCUUCCUAGGGGUACGGAACAACUCAGGGAAACUUGAGCUAAUACCGUAUACGUCCGUGAGGAGAAAGAUUUAUCGCCCUUAGACGGGCCCGCGUCGGAUUAGCUAGUUGGUGGGGUAACGGCCUACCAAGGCGACGAUCCGUAGCUGAUCUUAGAGGAUGAUCAGCCACACUGGGACUGGGACACGGCCCAGACUCCUACGGGAGGCAGCAGUGGGGAAUCUUGGACAAUGGGCGCAAGCCUGAUCCAGCCAUGCCGCGUGAGUGAAGAAGGUCUUCGGAUUGUAAAGCUCUUUUGCCAGGGACGAUAAUGACGGUACCUGGAGAAUAAGCCCCGGCAAACUUCGUGCCAGCAGCCGCCGUAA
This 451-nucleotide ribosomal RNA is filed under the name uncultured bacterium. RNAcentral describes it as "partial 16S ribosomal RNA". It matches the Rfam family "Bacterial small subunit ribosomal RNA", at positions 28 to 523 of the family's 1533-position model. The record is from RNAcentral.